Molecule: long non-coding RNA, 642 nt
Organism: Gymnodraco acuticeps
Lineage: Eukaryota; Metazoa; Chordata; Actinopteri; Perciformes; Bathydraconidae
Exons: 2
Source: RefSeq, a predicted model, not a curated record
GGAGGAUGUGGAAGCCAUCGUGUCCUUGCUUCUUGGUAUGUGGUUUUUUAUCACAGCAAGAAGGAAAACUUUGUUUCGGAAAAGGCUGCUUAUAGCAAGACGUAAUACAGAAGAAGCUGAGGGGAGACUUAUGGCAAUCGUACAACGCGGCAGAGACUACUCCAGGACGACUCAACGACAACGCUACUCGAAGUUAGGUUGCCACCGCAGACCAUGUGUUUGGAUGCUUGACCGAGCAACCGAGUGGUGGGGUGUGAUUGUUCCAUCUUUCACACACACUCAGGAUGUCUGAGGAAACCUACGUAUACCUGUGCAACAAACUGCGGCCAGCGAUGGAGACAGGACACACCAUUCCGCGAGUGUAUACCUCUAAAGAAGAGGGUGGCCAUCGCAAUGUGGAAGCUUGCGACCGGCUUAGAGUUUGAUGCGCUACCUGAAAAGCUACAUAUUCAUUGUAUACAGGAAACUUGAAUGUUUUUGGUUCAUAACAUCAUGGUUCAGUAAGUUGAUAUACAUUUCUUGUGUUUGUCAUUAUAAACACGACAUUGAAAGAUUGUGGGCCAUUAAGGCUAGUGACAUUUUGUUUUGUUUUUAUUAUUACUACAUUGUAUUGAACAUAAAUAAAUCUAUUUUUCUCUUUCA